AACCUGGGAACUGCAUUCGAAACUGGCAGGCUAGAGUCUUGUCGAGGGGGGUAGAAUUCCAGGGGUAGCGGUGAAAUGCGUAGAGAUCUGGAGGAAUACCGGUGGCGACGGCGGCCCCCUGGACAAAGACUGACGCUCAGGUGCGAAAGCGUGGGGAGCAAACAGGCUUAGAUACCCUGGUAGUCCACGCCGUAAACGAUGUCGAGUUGGAGGUUGUGCCCUUGAGGCGUGGCUUCCGGAGCUCACGCGUUAAAUCGACCGCC
This 263-nucleotide ribosomal RNA is filed under the name Klebsiella pneumoniae. Its description in RNAcentral is "partial 16S ribosomal RNA". It matches the Rfam family "Bacterial small subunit ribosomal RNA", at positions 611 to 873 of the family's 1533-position model. The record is from RNAcentral. Lineage: Bacteria; Pseudomonadati; Pseudomonadota; Gammaproteobacteria; Enterobacterales; Enterobacteriaceae.